UAGCUGAAUUGACCUGACAUGGGACUUGAACUCAAGAUCAUGACCUGAGCAGAAGUUCGAUGCUUAAUUGACAGAGCUGCCCAGCUGCCCCAAAUUAUCAGUGAACUUUCUGUGUCAUGCAGGGAGAUGGAAGGAAGUAGUCCAAAUGGUCAGGACAAGAAUAAGCCACAUGACUGAACCAAGUGCAGCUACUUAACAGUUCAGCCUGAAAUGCUUGGCUUUGGAACUGGGGAACCCAAGUACUUAGACAUGAUGGUGGUAGGGAGCUCCCCAAGAGGACAGUGAGCUGUAGCUCUGAAACAAAGGAUUCCCCGUUCACGUUCACGUGCAAAGUCACCAGGGUUUCCUCCGGGGAGCACCUCCUCCCACCCAGUGAGCGGGAAGCUGCAAAGAGGAGGAGAAUCUGGGGAGAAAGGCACGUGGGAAGGAGGCAUUCCCCGUGCCCCGAGUCUGGAACCUUCAAAGGGAGAACAGAACCAGGUAGUGAUAUGCCAUCAAGUCCCAAUUACCUGCAAGAGAAUUUCCUGCCCCCGUUUCUCGUGGCUAACCUUAGGAUCCACACUGUUGAUGUCAUGGCUUCGCCCUCUCGACCUAACUCUUCUGUGGUGCUUAGCACUAC
Molecule: long non-coding RNA, 619 nt
Organism: Hyaena hyaena (striped hyena)
Lineage: Eukaryota; Metazoa; Chordata; Mammalia; Carnivora; Hyaenidae
Exons: 3
Source: RefSeq, a predicted model, not a curated record